CAAAAACUUUCUGCCAAAAAAGAAAAAAAAGAAAAUAAACAAUGAAAAAAUGAAAAAGUGCUAAUAGAAAUACAGUCCCAGUGUGUACACACGCAAAAAAACUCAAAAAGCAAAACAAUUUUUAUCCAUGAUUAGGUCCUAAUGGACAGAUCUCACCCUGUGUAGUUUGGAAAGUCCUCUGAUUGAUGUAGUUUUUAUGGUGGUUUAGUCAAGCAGAUGUCAAAGUGUUU
Non-coding RNA from Pelobates cultripes (western spadefoot toad), 230 nucleotides. The record is from the annotation of a GenBank genome assembly. Lineage: Eukaryota; Metazoa; Chordata; Amphibia; Anura; Pelobatidae.